UACGUAGGGUGCAAGCGUUUGUCCGGAAUUAUUGGGCGUAAAGAGCUCGUAGGCGGUUCGUCGCGUCGGUUGUGAAAUCCCGGAGCUCAACUCCGGGUCUGCAGUCGAUACGGGCGGACUCGAGUUCGGCAGGGGAGACUGGAAUUCCUGGUGUAGCGGUGAAAUGCGCAGAUAUCAGGAGGAACACCGGUGGCGAAGGCGGGUCUCUGGGCCGAUACUGACGCUGAGGAGCGAAAGCGUGGGGAGCGAACAGG
RNAcentral lists this ribosomal RNA (254 nucleotides) under uncultured bacterium. RNAcentral's name for it is "partial 16S ribosomal RNA". It matches the Rfam family "Bacterial small subunit ribosomal RNA", at positions 524 to 776 of the family's 1533-position model. The record is from RNAcentral.